RNAcentral lists this long non-coding RNA (17029 nucleotides) under Populus tremula. Its description in RNAcentral is "long non-coding RNA (PTRE_LNC001147)". Lineage: Eukaryota; Viridiplantae; Streptophyta; Magnoliopsida; Malpighiales; Salicaceae. The record is from RNAcentral.
AUGGUUUUCACAGCUUUUGUUAUCACCUCCGCCUUGACAAAAUCUGUAGGGCAAUCUCUCCUAAAAUCCAACGUCAAUUCCACAGCUAAUCCCAAGUCUUUCACCAGCUGAAAAGCAUUCAUGUGUUGCUCAGCAUAUAAUGGCCAAGUUAUAAUAGGCACAGCAUACCACAAGGCCUCCAAAGUUGAGUUCCAUCCACAGUGUGAUACGAAAGCGCCUACUGCUUUAUGUGCCAAGAUUUCUACUGUGGUGCCCAUCCACAUAGCAUCCCAAUGUUUUUAGUUCUUUCCAAGAAUCCCUGUGGCAAGAUCUCUUCAUAGUUGUCAAAAAAACUAGCUUGCAGCAUCCCCUUGGAGGGUUUCAACCGGAUGGACCAUAAGAACCUAUGUCCACUCCUCUCGAGCCCGAUUGCAAUUUCUUUCAACUGAGCUUCAUCAAAGCCUCCUCCACUCCCGAAGCACAAGAACACCACUGAUUUUUCAGGUUGAUCAUCAAGCCAUUUCAAGAUCUCGUCACGCUUGACGCCAUCGGAUCCUGACAGACUCUUUCCCUUGUGAUCAAUCAAUGGCCCAACAUUGAAAAUAGGUGGUAUAUCAUCUCUAGCCAAAAGAGCACUAACUGCAUGGGACUCAGCUUCUGAAAAUGUAUUAACAAUGAUACCGUUGGAGUCCUUAAACUUUCUUCCAUGGUUUGCAAAAGUCUCGUAUUCCACAUCGGUGUGCAAUAACGACAUAACACGGUAAGGCACGGGAUUUGAAAAACAGGGGAUGAUAUAGUCAGGGUCAGUAGGGCUAAACUUAGGCUCACCCUUGUCUUGUCUAUCUGAAAGGUAAAGCGUCAUGGCAAGAAAGGCAGCAUCAGAAGUGAAAAAAACAUGAGAAGGGACCCCAAGUUCUUUGGAAACAUCAAUAAAUGCAGUGCAGAACAUAUCAACAACAACACUAGCAAUUGGUGCAGGGUUGUGGGCCAUGACUUGGUUAACAAUAGUAUCUUUUACAAGGGUUUUGUGAUCAUUGAUGUAAGAAGUAUAAGCACUUGCAGGGCUUACAGCUAAAGCUUCUGGAGGAGGUGCAGGUAUGGUCUCAGGAAUUUCGAUGAACCUGAUUUCUGUAUGAAUUGAAGCAAGCGAUUCGCUGUUCUUGCUUAUGCUACCGUAAAAUGGAUUGUUGAUGGCAAGCAUGGUUAUCAAGAAACUGUCGUUUCUCUUAAGAACCAUCUUUGCUAACUGAACAGCUGAUACAAGGUGGCCAAAUCCAGGUGCAGGGACAAAGACGAGCUGUGUUUUCUUCAUUUUGGAGGUUUUGAAUGUUCAAUGUGGUGAUCCUUGUUUGCCUUAUAAUGGGCUCAAGGUCAAUGCUAGCUGUUAUGUUUUUUUUUUUUUUUCUAAAUUAAUCAUCAAAUCAAAUUGGAUAUAACAAAUAUUACGAAGAUUGAUUUCAUAGAAAAAUUUUCUUGUAAUGUUUUUAAACAAUUCAAAUUAAAUAAAAAAAAUAUAAAUAUAAAAGAAAAUAAAGCUAGGGUUUCAUUAAUCAUUUUAUUCUGAAAUUAUAUUUUUAAUCUAAAUAUAAAAAAAUUAUAUAUAAACUAAACUAAAAAUACUAUUUUAUUUUUAAUAAAUAAAAUUAAAUAAAUAUACUUUUUAACAACAUUCAUCUUUCCCGUAAAAUAUCUUUUACUAUGAUAAUUUAAUUAAGUAUCACUUGAUUAAAAUAUAUUUUAAAAAUUAAAGAUUAUAUUAUAAUUAAUACAAGAGUUAUAUUUCUAGACCUAGAAAAAUCAAGUAAGGAUUUAAUUGAUUAAAUUUCUAAAAUUAAUUACCCUUAUAUAAUAUAUGGAUAUUAUUUAAGAGCAAAUAAAUAUAUUUUGUCAUUUAUACGGUUUUAUGAUUUCUUAUAAAUAUAAAACUAAGCCUAUUAUUUUGUAAAUAAAAAAUAAUGAUUGUCUGUUAAAUAGAAAAAUUAUGUAAAUAUAAUAUUAGAGCUAACACUCUAUACAUAACAAUUUAUCAUUUCUAAACAAAAAUUUAUGAGUUUUUUUCACGGGUAGUUUGUGUAUAUUAUCAUUAGAGAUCAGGUAAUGAAAUUAUUUAUAGUUUAUGUCAACCUAACUUUUAAAAAAUAAUUUAAAAUAAAAAAAUAAAUAUUUAAAUAAUUUUAAACUUAAUAUAAUAUGAUAUAAGAAAUGAUAUCCUGUUAGUGCGAGUUUGUGUGUAUUGACAACUUAAUAUAUUCAGUCAUGCGAAUUCUUUGUAGUUGUUAACUUGUUAUGGUUUCAAAUUGAGGAAGGACGUAGUUUUUAAUGUCAACAACAAUGAUUGAUUGUGAUUGCAUUUAAUAGCUAGACAGUUACAUGGCUAGAAAGAAUCCAAAGAUAUAAUAUAUACAUGAUGAUAUUCUAUUUAAAUUUAUUAAAUGGCAAUUUCGUAGGAAUUGCUAAAGUGUUAAAUUGUGGAUGAAGUUUUUUAUGAAUUUUUAUUUUUAUUUUAUUCUAUUGUACUUUUCAUCAUUGAUAGUUAUUUAUGAAAAAUAUUAUAUCACAAUUUAUAUCAAAAUUAUUGACACAAAAAUUCUAUCACUAUUAUCUUCUAAAAUUAUUGAUGAAAAUUUUUUCAUUGCCAUUUCUGAUUUUAUUUAUUAAUUUUCUGGUAAUAAUAAUCUUAUGCUCAGGUUUAUAAUCCUAUAAUUAAAAAAAUAGUAUCUGAAAUUGAAACUUAAAAGAAGAUUAAACCUUCCAUUUUUAAAUUAUAUGAAAUGUUGAUAAUACAACUAAUCAAACAUAAACUAACAAUCAUUAAUUUAAACAAAAUUUAAGAAUUGAUGGUAUGAUUCCAUAAAUUAAUUAUUAAAAUUACAUUUUAUAAAUUUUUAUCAAGUAAUUCUACCAUCAAUUCCUAAAAUCUAACAAUCAUUUAAACAAAAUUUAAGAAUUGAUGAUAGAAUUACUUGGUAAAAUUUUAUAAAAAUAAGCAAACUUUCUUAAUAAUCAUAUACACCCAUCCUUCUUAUUAAAUGACAUUUAAAUGUCUAAAGUAAAGAAUACCUACAUCUAGCUAAAACAAAAUUCGGGAUUCUUCUACAAUAAAAAUGCUAUCAUUUCAUGCACGCAUCAUAAACGAAAAAUCCAAACCAACAUGAUCAUAUAUAUAUAUAUAUAUAUAUAUAUAUAAAUGUAAUGACACAUAAACUUUCCAGUCAAAAUAUUAUAUUUUGAAGAGUGAAAAUACAAACAAUGUUAGUUAAUCUAAAGCUAUCACAUGCCCAACUAUUCUAAUGGCUCUAAUUUUCAACUACUAAUGAAAAAAAAAAUACUAAAAAGUAUUUUUAUAUAUUAAUUAAAAUAAAGUAUACAAUAUUAAGAUUAUUCAAAAUGUUAGACUCACAUCAUGCAUAAACUCAUAUGAGCUUAUCUUUUAAUGUAUCAUGAAUGAUUUUAUUGGUGUGGGUUUUUUUUUUAUAUAUAAUCCUGAAUAUUUAGAUUAUAUUUUUAUAUGUACCUUAAUUAAUUUUUUUAAAAUUCUAAAUUUUACAACCAUGUGAUGUAUUGAUGGGGAAGGCAGUGAGGUGGUGACUGUUUCUGGAGGGACGGGUGCUUGUAAAUUAGAUAGUGAUGGGUCGACAAGCCAUGGCCAUAAGCAAAAAGAUAAAGGACGAGGAGAGGGAGAAAAAGUUGUGCAUAUUUUGUGCAACAUGUGAUGGUGGAACAGGAUAAAGGACGAGGAGAGGGAGAAAAAGUUGUGAAUCCCUGUGGCAAGAUCUCUCCAUAGUUGUCAAAAAAACUAGCUUGCAGCAUCCCCUUGGAGGGUUUCAACCGAAUGGACCAUAAGAACCUAUGUCCACUCCUCUCGAGCCCGAUUGCAAUUUCUUUCAACUGAGCUUCAUCAAAGCCUCCUCCGCUCCCGAAGCACAAGAACACCACUGAUUUUUCAGGUUGAUCAUCAAGCCAUUUCAAGAUCUCGUCACGCUUGACGCCAUCGGAUCCUGACAGACUCUUUCCCUUGUGAUCAAUCAAUGGCCCAACAUUGAAAAUAGGUGGUAUAUCAACUCUAGCCAAAAGAGCACUAACUGCAAGGGACUCAGCUUCUGAAAAUGUAUUAACAAUGAUACCGUUGGAGUCCUUAAACUUUCUUCCAUGGUUUGCAAAAGCCUCAUAUUCCACAUCGAUGUGCAAUAACGGCAAAAGACGGUAAGGCACGGGAUUUGAAUAAGAGGGGAUGAUAUAGUGUCAGUAGGGCUAAACUUAGGCUCACCCUUGUCUUGUCUAUCUGAAAGGUAAAGCAUCGUGGCAAGAAAGGCAGCAUCAGAAGUGUAAAAAACAUGAGAAGGGACCCCAAGUUCUUUGGCAAUAUCAAUAAAUGCAGUCACUACAAGAUUUAACAGUUUUACUGAUGGAAUUUCCGUCAGUGUAAGACACAUAUUCCAUCGGUAAUUAAUUUACCGACGACAUGACCGACGAAGAAUUUCUGUCGGUGAAUCUUUAUGAUUACAUAUCUGAUAAUCAAUGUUUUGCAGGUAUGAGAUGCAGGAUCUGCAUGUUUCUGAGACCCUUCCUCAAAUGGUUGCUCUCUCUGAGGCAUACCUGCAGAUAUAUGAGCAGCAGCAGUAGCACUGGAGUUUAGAAGUCCUAUUGUCAACAUGUUGUCAUACUGUUUUUGGGUACAAGUAACACAAGAGUCUUACCUUCUGUAAAUGGUUGAGGAAAAAUCGGAAUAUGAUGGAACCAUUGCUUGACUGGCACUUGGCAGAUUUACUAAGCUUAGAAAAACAUUGAGGUUUUGUAGAAAAAAGGCAGUGCUUUGUCUGUUUCAUACCAUUAAAAGGAUGAACAGUUUUGUUACUAAAAAACUUUCCAUCUAUUGUAGCAGAGCAGGAAACUUAAAUAAUGCGGUGAUGAUUGACUUAGGUGAUUCAGACAGUGACUUCGGUUUGGUUGUCAUGCUUUGUGUACAACUUUGAUCUGUAGGGAUAAAAAAUGAUAUGCUAGGCUUUGGUUUGUUCAUUGUUACCGAGUUCUCAUGGCAGUAAUGUCAUGAAAAGCAGUAUUCGUAGGCUUCUCUUGUUUUAUUGUCGACACUUCAUUGCCUGGAUUUCUUUCUGCUAGUAUUUUUCUUACAGUGAUGUGGUGGAUUGUAUUCUGUUUCGUAUUGUUGUGAUUUUUUGAAGUGCAGCAGUUUCUACUUGAAAAAAGUGUUAAUGCAAACAGAUUUACCAGAGACAGAGACAGCCUGAAUUGAAGGUAUGUAUGCGUCCUAUCAAAUACACACAGCCCUGCUUGAAUGGUAUGUGUGCCUCCUUUCAGAUAAAGUAGUCCAGCACACGGGGAAGCCCUAAUAUUAAAUGGAGUGCUCAGUGAUGGAGAUUGCAAGCAAUGCCCUCGGUAGGGAAGUCACUGAAUGGAGGCCACGAGCCAGCAACCGAGACUUGAUCCCCGAGUUUUUGUCGGGACGGAGACAGUAAAGAUCCCCCCUUGAUUCAUAGCCACUUUCUAAAGGUUUCAAGUUGAGACUUGAUCUCCUGGUUUUGGACAUCGCUCUUUGGAGGUAUAAAACUAGUAUAAAUGUAAUAAUGUUUUUUUUUUUUGGUAUGAUUAAAUUUUGGAUUGGAUUUGAUUUAAAUAAAAACUUAACUCACAUUAAAUUAUUCAAUAAAUCUUAACUAACACAUCGAGGAAUCUAGAUUAUUUAAUUUGCAAUGAACCAUUUCGAUCCUUGUAUUUUCUCUCUAAAUGAUAAAAAUGAUAAAGGAGAGGCAUCAAACAAUUAUCACCUCCACAUAUUUUUAUUUGAAGUGUAUAUUAACGAGUUGGGGUGAGCAAAAAACCGAGAAAUCAAGAAAACUAAAAAAAAAAUAACUGAAAAAAUCGAAUCGUGAAAAAAAAAAAACUGAUUAAAUUUUUUAAAAAACUGACCGGUUUGGUAUUGGUUUUAUAAGCCUAAAACCAAAUCGAAUCGAAAAAAAUCGAGCCAAACCGGAAAAAAUCGAGCCAAAUUGGAAAACUGAGCCAAACUGAAAAAAACCGGCCGGUUCGAACCGGUUUCAGUUCGGUUUCGAUUUUUUUCUUAAUUUUUUUUUUAUUUGGUUACUUUUUUGAUAAAAACCAAACCGAAUCAAACCGAAUUUGAUAACCCCUAUUAAUAAGACUGGCAUUCCCUUCAUUAGUAGCCAUACUAUUAGAGAAUGAGGAAGUGUUGUCUGCAGUAAAUAAUGUAUCAGCAAAUGGUGCCAAGUGUAGAAGCAACAUUAAAUAGAUGAAACAAUUAUGUCAAGUCAUUUUAUUGAUUCUUAUUUUUAAAGUAUAAAGAACUUUCUUCAAUUAGACGCUCUUGAUAUAAACAAUUUUUUAGGAGGAUGGUAGCAUUUAUAUUCCUUUUGUGUUGCAGAAUAUCCCAAAAAAACACACUUAACGAAUCAAGCUUGUUACUGAUGUGAAAUUUGUAUAUGAACAAAACAAGUGUAACUAAACAUUUAUAAAUAAGAUAAAUUAGAUGGUUGUUUCUGCAAAACUUCAAGAAAAGAUUUAAAAUGUAAUACUUGACUAAGUAACUGAUUGAUUAGAUAUGCAACACAUAACACUUUGUGAGACCAAAAUAUUUUAGAAACAUGCAUGUGUAUCUCUAGUUAUUUUUUCAUAAGUCUUUGUUUUUACAUUCAGCUGCCUCAUUUUUAUUGUGGUAUGCCAACACAGCUGGAACAGACCCUUCGAUGUUGUUUUCCGAAUGGAUUAUAAGAACUUUUGUGCACUCUAUUCGAGCCCAUUUGCUAUGUCUUUCAAUUGAGGUUCACUAAAGCAUGUGGUUUGCUAACUUAAUUGCUGACACAAGAUGACCAUGUUUUGCUGCAAGAAUUAACACUAGCUGUGGUUUCUUGAAGAAACUUUCUUCAUUCCAAUAAUAACGGUAGGAAAAAGGUGAAUGUUAAGUUUGUCGGUAUAAGACCCAAUCUAGUUUGACACGUUAAUUUAAUGACUCAUUUAUUCAAAGUUUGGCUUGGUGGGUUAACGUGAUGACUAGGUCAACACAAUGACCCACUGACUCAGAGCUUGGCUUGGCCAAGUGACUGAAAAAUCAAAUAUAUAUAUUUUUUUUUAUCAAAACAACGAUGUUGUUUAAGUUUUUUUUUUUUGUUAAAAAAAAAAGCUUGGGAUGAAUUGAAUCAAACCCAUCAAUCUACAACCCCACCUUGCGUAGAGUAGACUCCUCGGUCAGGUAUUAUAAUUAUGGUUAUGUGUGAACUAUAAAAUAGAAAGAAAUGACAAGUUGAUCUCUCUUAAGAGAAAAGGAAGAUGAAUUGCCUCCGGUAGUAAAGAAUUAAUGUCUAACUUAUAUAGGUGCGUUAGUUGUGGAUUUUUCAUUGGAAAGAAAUGACAAGUUGAUCUUUCUUGAGAGAAAAUGAAGAUGAAUUGCCUACGAUAGUGAAGAAUUCAUGUCUAACUUAUAUAGGUGCGUUAGUUGUGGUUUUUCAUGAUUAAAUUAUGUGGAUUGUUUAACAGAGUUAUUUACCAAUCAAUAAGACAUGGUUAAGUUCAAAAAGAGGUUUGGAUUGAGCAGCGUGCUCGGUCUGAUAAAAAAUCCCAUAAUUUUUUAUAUAUUCUUUUAAUCACUCUCAAAUUUAGUUAGGAAAUUCCAAAGAUGGAGACCCAAAAGCCUUUAAAUUAGGCUUAGAAGGAGCUCAUCAAGUUAGUUUUGUUAUUUUUUUUUAAUUAUUUUGGAUUUUUAGUUUGGUUAGAACUUUUAUUGCUUGGUAUUUUAUGAUUAGGACUUUAGUUUCAUUUCUUGAGUACGUCAAUUUUUUAGAUUUAUUUAAAUAAUUAUAAAUAUAUUAAAAGAUACAAAAUAUUAAAGAGAAAAUAUGCAGUAAUAAAUUUUUAAAUUAAAAUUUUUAUGUCGUUAUUCUACAAAAUUUAACGGGUUUGUGUUUAUGUUUUUUUUUUUUUUAUCAUUAUUAUCCGGGCCCCGCAUCACUUACUUCCAAAUGAUGGUGUGACAGCUGAAGCCAAUCAGUGAUGAUCUACCGGUGAAGGAAGCAAAUAUCACUUGCUUAGUUGCUUUUGCGUGUGGUCAAGAACAAGAUGCAUAUCCCCUUGCACGUCACUACACAUGUAAGCAAGUUAUUAGUUGAACCAUUUAGGUGGUGCUCCAAUAAUAAAAAUUUAAGACCAAGAGGUUUGUAAUUUUUGUGGUUUCAAGUUCAAAUUCUAGGUUGCUUAUAUGAUGGCUACUGGAGGCUUACAUGGUCGUUAAUUUCAGGACUUGUGGGAUUAGUCGAGGUACGCGCAAACUAGCUCGGACACCCACGUUAAUCUAAAAAAAAAAGUUAGCAUUAGUUUACAAUAUUAAGGUGUACGGCUUUGAUUAAGUUUUAAAUUUGUUUUUUUAAAUUAUUAAUUUAAGUUUAAUAAAUUUUAAGAUUAUUAGAGAUUUAUGUAGUUAUUAAUUUUAAAAUUUAUAAAUUUAAUCAAGAUAUAUACAAAUUAACCAAACACUUAAAAUAAUAAUAAUAAAUUGGCAUUAGCCGGUGUAAUAGAUUUUAAUGCUAUAAAACAAAAGGAAGAAAAGAACAAAAAAAAAAGGUACGGUCAUUUCAUAAGGCCUCAACUUUAAUUAACUUCGUCAGAACUAAUGUUGCAUAGGAAAUAGAUCACUACAACAUGACCAAAUCAAACAAACUAUAUAUAUAUAUAACACACACAUGAUAAUUAAAGACUAUAACUUAAUUUAAUUUGAGGAGAAUGAAAUUAAGCCACGACAGGAAUUAAUCAACAUGGUAAAUAAUAUUGCAAUCAAAGUUAGAGCCUGCAAAUCCAAUCAAACUAAUAUUAACAUCAGAGUUAGAAACAGACAAGGAAAAAAAAGUACCCCUGGCACUAGUUACCAACAAAGAAAAAAGAAUCAGUGAAUUUUUGCAGGAGAUGAACAAGAUAAACAAAGUAACUUACCUGGUGAAGACUAGAAAGAUGCCGUUGUUGUUGUAUUGACUCUGGUUCUCACAAUGGAUGGUGAAAAGGAUGCCGUCGAUGAUGAAAAAAAUUAAAAAGGUGAGGGGCGAGGGCUGUUAUGGAGUAUCGGUUGACAGUGGUUGAUUGUUAGAUCGUGGACGGCUGAGAGAAAAAGAUUAAGAGACCGAGUCACUGAGGAAUCCUCAGUGAGGAUUUAUAAUUUUGGGAUUUUUUAUGUUCUGAACGUGAAUGGUUAAUGUAAAGAGAAGACUGCAUGCAUGAUUGAUGAUUGAGUGAAUUUGUAUUUACUCUGUUAAAGUCAAUACGCGGUCGACACCUGGCAGCCACAUUGCAUUUUUAUUUCCAGCGGCUAAACUCGUUCAAUCGGUGGUGAAAUCACGACUUUACAUAAUUUCACCCGAUUUUAAUGAUUUUACGUAUUUUCGAGUUUUAUAAAUGAUUUAGCACGUAAAGCCUAUAUUAACUCGUAAAAACGUAUGAUUUUACGAGUUGAAUCGCGAUUUUAACAACCUUGGUUAUAUGUCUUAUGGAAAUAAAAACUAAAAUCAUCAAAUUUAAUUUAAGAAAAUAAUAACUUACAAAAGAAAAUGGUUUAAUGAACUUAUCAAUUCUCAGUCGUAGUGAAUUUGCUGGCUUCGAUUCCCUACAUUGGAGUGUGAUUAUCGUGUGAAACGCUCGAACAUCACAUGAUAAAUAUAUCCCAUCUAUAUAUUUUCCGGGAUGUAUGACGGCUUGAAAUCCUUCUAAACCACCACGUCAUUCCAACCAGACAAAGCCUUUUUCCUAGCAUAAAUAUUUCUAAACUAUCCAUCAAGUUUCAGGUAUUUAUAUAGAUAUCUAUUAUCUAUUAUUAUUUAUUAAUUAAUAAAAAAUAAAAUAGUAUAUAUGCGUGUGUUUUUUUAAAAAAUAUCAUAUUAUUUUUUUAAAUAUAUUCAAUAAACAAGUAGGCUUCGGUUAAUAUUCAAAAGUCUCAUGUUAAAUUAUUACCCCUGUCCCGCCAUAUUACACAAGUUAUGCACAACUUUUUUUCUUUCUCCUCGUCCUUUAUCUUUUUGCUUAUUGCCGUAGCUUGUCGAUCCCUCUCGAUCAAAUUUACAAGCACCCGUCCCUUUUAAAAUAAUCAUCUUUUCUUUAAAUUAAAUUUAGGUUGUAGCUAAACAAAUUAAGUUUUAAAUUUAAUUUUAGAGAUUAUUAAUUCAAGUUUAAUAAAUUUUAGAAUAAUUAAAAAUUUAUAUAAUUAUUAAUUUUAUAAUUUAUAAAAUUAGUUGAAAUAUAAAUAAAUUGAUCGGAAUACUCAUAUUAAAAAUAAAUAACAUUAGUUGAUGUGAUAUAUUUUAAUACUAUCAAAAGGAAGAAAAGAAAAAAAAAAUACAGUCAUUCCAUGAGACCUCGACUUUAAUUAACUUCAUCAGAACUAAUGUUGGAUAGGAAAUAGAUCACUGCAACAUGACCAAAUCAAACAAACUAUACAUAUGAUAAUUAAAGACUAUAACUUAAUUUAAUUUGAGGAAUGAAAUUAAGCCACAGUAGGAAUUGAUGAUCAUUGAUGGAAUCAACAUGGUAGAUAAGGCGUAAACUCUUCAAGGUUUGCUUCCUAACCAUUGAUCAAUCAAGUUUCCAAAAGCAACAUACGAAGAUCCACCCUCCACCACAGCUUUCUUCGCCAUUUCACUGGUUUCUGUGGCCUUGUUCCUCAGUUCACCACCUUGUUCCAUCAUGGUUUUCACAGCUUUUGUUAUCACCUCCGCCUUGACAAAAUCUGUAGGGCAAUCUCUCCUAAAAUCCAACGUCAAUUCCACAGCUAAUCCCAAGUCUUUCACCAGCUGAAAUGCAUUCAUGUGUUGCUCAGCAUAUAAUGGCCAAGUUAUAAUAGGCACCGCAUGCCACAAGGCCUCCAAAGUUGAGUUCCAUCCACAGUGUGAUACGAAAGCGCCUACUGCUUUAUGUGCCAAGAUUUCUACCUGUGGUGCCCAUCCACAUAGCAUCCCAACGUUUUUAGUUCUUUCCCAGAAUCCCUGUGGCAAGAUCUCUUCAUAGUUGUCAAAAAAACUAGCUUGCAGCAUCCCCUUGGACGGUUUCAACCGAAUGGACCAUAAGAACCUAUGUCCACUCCUCUCGAGCCCGAUUGCAAUUUCUUUCAACUGAGCUUCAUCAAAGCCUCCUCCGCUCCCGAAGCACAAGAACACCACUGAUUUUUCAGGUUGAUCAUCAAGCCAUUUCAAGAUCUCGUCACGCUUGACGGCAUCGGAUCCUGACAGACUCUUUCCCUUGUGAUCAAUCAAUGGCCCAACAUUGAAAAUAGGUGGUAUAUCAUCUCUAGCCAAAAGAGCACUAACUGCAUGGGACUCAGCUUCUGAAAAUGUAUUAACAAUGAUACCGUUGGAGUCCUUAAACUUUCUUCCAUGGUUUGCAAAAGUCUCGUAUUCCACAUCGGUGUGCAAUAACGACAUGACACGGUAAGGCACGGGAUUUGAAAACAGGGGAUGAUAUAGUCAGGGUCAGUAGGGCUAAACUUAGGCUCACCCUUGUCUUGUCUAUCUGAAAGGUAAAGCGUCAUGGCAAGAAAGGCAGCAUCAGAAGUGUAAAAAACAUGAGAAGGGACCCCAAGUUCUUUGGAAACAUCAAUAAAGGCAGUGCAGAACAUAUCAACAACAACACUAGCAAUUGGUGCAGGGUUGUGGGCCAUGACUUGGUUAACAAUAGUAUCUUUUACAAGGGUUUUGUGAUCAUUGAUGUAAGAAGUAUAAGCACUUGCAGGGCUUACAGCUAAAGCUUCUGUAGGAAGUGCAGGUAUGGUCUCAGGAAUUUCGAUGAACCUGAUUUCUGUAUGAAUUGAAGCAAGCGAUUCGCUGUUCUUGCUUGUGCCACCGUAAAUUGGAUUGUGGAUGGCAAGCAUGGUUAUCAAGAAACUGUCGUUUCUCUCAAGAACCAUCUUUGCUAACUGAACAGCUGAUACAAGGUGGCCAAAUCCAGGUGCAGGGACAAAGACGAGCUGUGUUUUCUUCAUUUUGGAGGUUUUGAAUGUUCAAUGUGGUGAUCCUUGUUUGCCUUAUAAUGGGCUCAAGGUUAAUGCCACAAUGCCAGCUGUUAUGGAUUUUUUUUUCUAAAUUAAUCAUGAUCAAAUUGGAUGUGACAAAUAUUACAAAGAUUGAUUUCAUAGAAAAAUUUUCUUGUAAUAUUUUUAAACAAUUCAAAUUAAAUAAAAAAAUAUAAAUAUAAAAUAAAAUAAAGGUAGGGUUUCAUUAAUCAUUUUAUUCUUAAAUUAUAUUUUUAAUCUAAAUAUAAAAAAAUUAUAUAUAGACUAAACUAAAUUAUAAAUAAAUAAAAUAAAUAUAUUUUUUAACAACAUUAAUCUAUCCCGUAAGAUAUAAAUAAUUUAAUAUGAUAAUUUAAUUAAGUAUCACUUGAUUAAAAUAUAUUUUAAAAAUUAAAGAUUAGAUUAUAAUUAAUACAAGCAUUAUAUAUAUUUCUAGAUCUAGAAAAAUCAAGUAAGAAUUUAAUUGAUUAAAUUUCUAAAAUUACCCUUAUAUAGUAUAUGGAUAUUAUUUAAGAGAAAAUAAAUAUAUGUUGUCAUUUAUACGGUUUUAGGAUUUCUUAUAAAUAUAAAACUAAACCUAUUAUUUUGUAAGUAAAAAAUAAUGAUUGUCUGUUAAAUAGAAAAAUUACGUAAAAACAAUAUUAAAACUAACACUUUAUACAUAACAAUCUAUCCUUUCUAAAUUGAAAUUUAUAAGUUUUUUCACGGGUAGUUUGUGUGGAUUAUCAUUAGAGAUCAGGUAAUAAAAUUAUUUAUAGUUUAUGACAAUCUAAUCUUUUAAAAAAUAAUUUAAAAUAAAAAAAUAUUUAAAUAAUAAAUUUCUAAAUAAUUUUAAAUUUAAUCUAAUAUGAUAUAAGAAAUAAAAUCCUGUUAGUGCGAGUUUGUGUGUAUUGACAACUUAAUAUAUCCAGUCAUGCGAAUUAUUUGUAGUUGUUAACUUUUUAUGGUUUCAAAUUGAGGAAGGACGUAGUUUUUAAUGUCAACAACAAUGAUUGAUUGUGAUUGCAUUUAAUAGCUAGACAGUUACAUGGCUAUAAAGAAUCUAAAGAUAUAAUAUAUAUACAUGAUGAUAUUCUAUUUAAAUUUAUUAAAUGGAAAUUUCGUAGGAAUUGCUGAAGUGUUAAAUUGUGGAUGAAGUUUUUUAUGAAUUUUUAUUUUUAUAUUAUUCUAUUGUACUUUUCAUCAUUGGUAGUUAUUUAUGAAAAAUAUUAUAUCACAAUUUAUAUCAAAAUUAUUGACACAAAAAUUCUAUCACUAUUAUCUUCUAAAAUUAUUGAUGAAAAUUUUUUCAUUUGCAUUUCUGAUUUUAUUUAUUAAUUUUCUGGUAAUAAAAAUAAUAAUAAUCUUAUGCUCAGGUUUAUAAUCCUAUAAUUAAAAAAAAUAGUAUCCAUACCAGAAAUUGAAACUUAAAAAAAGAUUAAACCUUCCAUUUUUAAAUUAUAUGAAAUGUUGAUAAUACAACUAAUCAAACAUAAACUAACAAUCAUUUAAACAAAAAUUAAGAAUUGAUGGUAUAAUUCUAUAAAUUAAUUUUUAAAAUUACAUUUUAUAAAUUUUUAUCAAGUAAUUCUACUAUCAAUUCCUAAAAUCUAACAAUCAUUUAAACAAAAUUUAAGAAUUGAUGAUAUAAUUACUUGGUAAAAUUUUAUAAAAAUAAGCAAACUUUCCUAAUAAUCAUAUAUACUCAUCCUUCUUAUUAAAUGGCAUUUAAAAGUCUAAAAUAAAGAAUACCUACAUCUAGCUAAAACAAAAUUCAGGAUUCUUCUACAAUAAAAACGCUAUGGCGCAUCAUAAACGAAAAAUCCAAACCAACACGAUCAAAUAUAUAUAUAUAUAUCAUGUAAUGACACAUAAACUUUCAAGUCAAAAUAUUAUAUUUUGAAGAGUGAAAAUACAAACAAUGUUAGUCAAUCUAAAGCUAUCACAUGCCCAACUAUUCUAAUGGCGCUAAUUUUCAACUACUAAUUAAAAACAAAAUACUAAAAAUUAUAUAUUUUAUAUUUUUAAAUCAAUUUAUAUAUUAAUUAAAAUAAAGUAUACAAUAUUAAAAUUAUUCAAAAUGUUAGACUCACAUCAUGCAUAAACUCAUAUGAGCUUAUCUUUUAAUGUAUCAUGAAUGAUUUUAUUGGUGUGGGUUUUUUAUAUAUAUAAUCCUGAAUAUUUAAACUAUUUACCUCAAUUAUUUUCUUAAAAUUCUAAAUUUUACCAACCAUGUAAUGUAUUGAUGGGGAAGGCAGUGAGGUGACUGUUUCUGGAGGGACGGGUGCUAGUGAAUUGGAUAGUGAGGGGUCGACAAGCCAUGGCCAUAAGCAAAAAGAUAAAGGACGAGGAGAGGGAGAAAAAGUUGUGCAUAAUUUGUGCAACAUGUGAUGGUGGAACAGGGAUAAUAAUCAUAUUAUAUCUGUGUGUGUUUUUAAAAAAAUAUCGUAUUAUUUUUUUAAAAUAUAUUCAAUAAAUAAGUAGGCUUCGGUUAAUAUACAAAGUCUCAUGUUAAAUUAUUAUACCUGUCCCACCAUUUUACACAAAUUAUGCACAACUUUUUUUCUUUCUCCUCGUCUUUUAUAUUUUUGCUUAUUGCCGUGGCUUGUCGAUCCCUCACGGUUCAAUUUACAAGUACCCAUCCCUUUCAAAACAGUCAUUUUAAAUUCAGCAAGGGUAAGUUAAACUAAUUAAAAGUUAUUGGUUUUAAUUUUAUAAAUAUCAUGAUCGUAUAAUUAUUAAUUUUAAAAUUUUUAAGAAUUAAUCAAUAUACAUACAAGUUAGUCUAUUGGUUUGAAUUUUAUAAAUAUCAGGAUCGUAUAAUUAUUAAUUUUAAAAUUUUUAAGAAUUAAUCAAGAUAUAUACAAGCUGGUCUAAACAUCAAUAUUAAUAAUUAAAAAAUAACAUUAGUUGGUGUGCUAGAUUUUAAUUCUAUAAUGUCUGCGAACAAGAAGGAGAAUGUCUGCGAACAAGAAGGAGUACGAAUGCUGGUCUUGAAGAAAGCAUAGGAACAAUUAACAGUUCCACAACAGUGGAUGUCAGGGAACCAAGGAUCUCCAUAGCCAAUGUUCUGUCUUUGUUUAGCAGCCAAACCACAAGUUUUGGAUGAUCACUACUGCGUAUUUGAAAAACUAUGGAGAUGGAUGUAGCAGAUAAAAUGAUUGAAAGAAUUUGCUUAGAGCAACUACAGAGAGACAGAGAGGCUAGGUUAGUUUGUGAAGUCAAGUCAAGCAAUUAUAUUCAAGUAAAUAUGACCCUAAUGACAUAUUCUAUUAAUUCAUUAAUAAAUUAUAUUGUAAGUGAUUAAAUAUUUAUAUUUAAGAAUUUUUAUAUAUUAAAUAAAUUUUUUAAAAAAAUUAAUUCAUUAAUAAAUUAUUUUCCAGUUUAUUUUUCAUUACACUACCAAACAUCAAAAAAUAUUUUUCCGGAAUUUAUUUUUUUCUGGAAUUCACUUUCUAAAAAAAAAUUACUUUUCUGCAAUGCUUUAAUUUAAUUUUAAUUUGAGGAAUGAAAUUAAGCCACAGUAGGAAUUGAUGAUCAUUGAUGGAAUCAACAUGUUAGAAAAGCCUAAGCUCUUCAAGGUUUGCCUCCUAGCCAUUGAUCAAUCAAGUUUCCAAAAGCAACAUACGAAGAUCCACCCUCCACCACAGCUUUCUUCGCCAUUUCACUGGUUUCUUUGGCCUUGUUCCUCAGUUCACCACCUUGUUCCAUCAUGGUUUUCACAGCUUUUGUUAUCACCUCCGCCUUGACAAAAUCUGUAGGACAAUCUCUCCUAAAAUCCAACGUCAAUUCCACUGCUAAUCCCAAGUCUUUCACCAGCUGAAAUGCAUUCACGUGUUGCUCAGAAUAUAAUGGCCAGGUUAUAAUAGGCACCGCAUACCACAAGGCCUCCAAAGUAGAGUUCCAUCCACAGUGUGAUACGAAAGCGCCUACUGCUUUAUGUGCCAAGAUUUCUACUUGUGGUGCCCAUCCACAUAGCAUCCCAAUGUUUUUAGUUCUUUCCAAGAAUCCCUGUGGCAAGAUCUCUCCAUAGUUGUCAAAAAAACUAGCUUGCAGCUUCCCCUUGGAGGGUUUCAACCGGAUGGACCACAAGAACCUAUGUCCACUCCUCUCGAGCCCGAUUGCAAUUUCUUUCAACUGAGCUUCAUCAAAGCUUCCUCCACUCCCAAAGCACAAGAACACCACUGAUUUUUCAGGUUGAUCAUCAAGCCAUUUCAAGAUCUCGUCACGCUUGACGGCAUCGGAUCCUGACAGACUCUUUCCCUUGUGAUCAAUCAAUGGCCCAACAUUGAAAAUUGGUGGUAUAUCAUCUCUAGCCAAAAGAGCACUAACUGCAUGGGACUCAGCUUCUGAAAAUGUAUUAACAAUGAUACCGUCGGAGUCCUUAAACUCUCUUCCAUGGUUUGCAAAAGCCUCAUAUUCCACAUCGAUGUGCAAUAACGGCAAAAGACGGUAAGGCACGGGAUUUGAAAACAGGGGAUGAUAUAGUCAGGGUCAGUAGGGCUAAACUUAGGCUCACCCUUGUCUUCUCUAUCUGAAAGGUAAAGCAUCGUGGCAAGAAAGGCAGCAUCAGAAGUGUAAAAAACAUGAGAAGGGACCCCAAGUUCUUUGGCAACAUCAAUAAAGGCAGUGCAGAACAUAUCAACAACAACACUAGCAAUUGGUGCAGGGUUGUGGGCCAUGACUUGGUUAACAAUAGUAUCUUUCACAAGGGUUUUGUGAUCAAUGAAAUAAGAAGUAUAAGCACUUGCAGGGCUUACGGCUAAAGCUUCUGGAGGAGGGGCAGGUAUGGUCUCAGGAAUUUCGAUGAACCUGAUUUCUGUAUGAAUUGAAGCAAGCGAUUCGGUGUUCUUGCUUGUGCCACCGUAAAUUGGAUUGUGGAUGGCAAGCAUGGUUAUCAAGAAACUGUCGUUUCUCUCAAGAACCAUCUUUGCUAACUGAACAGCUGAUACAAGGUGGCCAAAUCCAGGUGCAGGGACAAAGACUAGCUGUGUUUUCUUCAUUUUGGAGGUUUUGAAUGUUCAAUGUGGUGAUCCUUGUUUGCCUUAUAAUGGGCUCAAG